RNAcentral lists this long non-coding RNA (229 nucleotides) under Anser cygnoides (Swan goose). Its description in RNAcentral is "lncRNA (ENSACDG00005004633.1)". The record is from RNAcentral. Lineage: Eukaryota; Metazoa; Chordata; Aves; Anseriformes; Anatidae.
ACAGAUCCUUGAGAAGAGCGUCAAGACACAAAGGGAUGUGUUCUUCACUCUGAGAGUUGAUUCCAAGGGACAGAUCCUGUAGCAAAUAGGCUGAGGUAUCCCUGCACAGAUGUCAGCGAUCCGAGUGCUGCGCUUGGUGCUAUUUAAAGCAAAGGAACUGCCCCCCUGCAGUUUGUAAUGAGGUUCAAGUCUCUCACAAUCACAUGAUUCGAGCUGCAGAGGAUUUACA